CCUACGGGAGGCAGCAGUGAGGAAUAUUGGUCAAUGGGCGCAAGCCUGAACCAGCCAAGUAGCGUGAAGGAUGACUGCCCUACGGGUUGUAAACUUCUUUUAUAAGGGAAUAAAGUGAGGCACGUGUGCCUGUUUGUCUGUACUUUAUGAAUAAGGAUCGGCUAACUACGUGCCAGCAGCCGCGGUAAUACGGAGGAUCCGAGCGUUAUCCGGAUUUAUUGGGUUUAAAGGGAGCGUAGAUGGGUUGUUAAGUCAGUUGUGAAAGGUUGCGGCUCAACCGUAAAAUUGCAAUUGAUACUGGAAGUCUUGAGUGCAGUUGAGGUAGGCGGAAUUCGUGGUGUAGCGGUGAAAUGCUUAGAGAUCACGAAGAACUCCGAUUGCGAAGGCAGCUUACUAAACUGCCACUGACAUUGAUGCUCGAAAGUGUGGGUAUCAAACAGGAUUAGAUACCCGAGUAGUC
Molecule: ribosomal RNA, 460 nt
Filed under: uncultured bacterium
Lineage: Bacteria
Description: partial 16S ribosomal RNA
Rfam family: Bacterial small subunit ribosomal RNA
Source: RNAcentral